GACGAACGCUGGCGGCGUGCUUAACACAUGCAAGUCGAACGGCAACGCCCUGAUUUUGUGGGGUGCUCGAGUGCCGAUCGGGUGAGUAUCACGUGUGUAACCUGCUCUUGUUUUUGGUAUAACUUCAGGUAACUGGGGCUACUCUCGUACCGGAGCCCCCGUUGCGUGGUGGGCGUUGGAACGUCUCGGCUGUUGGGGAUGGACUCGCGGCUUAUCAGCUUGCUAGUGGGGGAGUGGCUUACCAAGGCUUUGACGGGUAGCCGGCCUGAGAGGGUGACCGGCCACAUUGGGACUGAGAUACGGCCCAGACUGCUACGGGAGGCAGCAGUGGGGAAUAUUGCACAAUGGGCGGAAGCCUGAUGCAGCAACGCCGCGUGCGGGAUGACGGCCUUCGGGUUGAAAACCGCUUUCGCCUGUAACGAAGCGUGAGUGACGGUAAUGGGUAAAGAAGCACCGGCUAACUACGUG
RNAcentral lists this ribosomal RNA (468 nucleotides) under uncultured bacterium. Its description in RNAcentral is "partial 16S ribosomal RNA". It matches the Rfam family "Bacterial small subunit ribosomal RNA", at positions 28 to 507 of the family's 1533-position model. The record is from RNAcentral.